UUCUAAAAGGAAGGAAACAUGUUUUUACUACUAAAAGAUAGUUUAACUGUGUCUUCAGCACCUAAAAGCAAGAAACCAUUCAGAUGAAUGAACAACAUGCAAGUAUAUUUCAAUGUAACCC
Exaiptasia diaphana is the source of this 121-nucleotide long non-coding RNA. RefSeq lists it as uncharacterized. The record is from RefSeq and is a predicted model, not a curated record. Lineage: Eukaryota; Metazoa; Cnidaria; Anthozoa; Actiniaria; Aiptasiidae. The transcript has 2 exons.